Molecule: non-coding RNA, 279 nt
Organism: Manis javanica (Malayan pangolin)
Lineage: Eukaryota; Metazoa; Chordata; Mammalia; Pholidota; Manidae
Source: RefSeq, a predicted model, not a curated record
UCCCCAACCAAUGGAGGAUGGGAACAAGCGGAUAAACACUCCAGACUCCCAUUCUGAGGGCUUGUGUGCUGGUCAGCACAACGAUCUGGGGAAUCUGAGAUGAGAAAUCCUUGUCAUGGGCUACAAGCACCAACUUUGGAGGUUCACAGAAUCUGCUUAGGAGUCCAGGCUCUGCUGCUCACUGGCUGAGUAACCUUAAGACAGAAGAGAAUUGAAAAACGAGGACCUUUUCUGCUAUGUGGUUUCACGUUACAGUUACACACCAGAAACUCACCUCAC